GGGAUAACGUUCCGAAAGGAGCGCUAAUACCGCAUACAGCGUUUGGUGGUUCGCCACUGGACGGCAAAGGCUGGGAUCUUCGGACCAGUCACUGGAGGAGGAGUCUGCGGCCCAUCAGCUAGUUGGUAAGGUAACGGCUUACCAAGGCAAAGACGGGUAGCUGGUCUGAGAGGAUGAUCAGCCACACUGGUACUGGAACACGGACCAG
RNAcentral lists this ribosomal RNA (208 nucleotides) under uncultured Syntrophobacterales bacterium. RNAcentral's name for it is "partial 16S ribosomal RNA". It matches the Rfam family "Bacterial small subunit ribosomal RNA", at positions 140 to 334 of the family's 1533-position model. The record is from RNAcentral. Lineage: Bacteria; Pseudomonadati; Thermodesulfobacteriota; Syntrophobacteria; Syntrophobacterales.